AGAGCGAACGCUGGCGGCAGGCCUAACACAUGCAAGUCGAGCGCCCGUAGCAAUACGGGAGCGGCAGACGGGAUAGUAACACGUGGGAACGCGCCCUUCGGUUCGGAAUAACUCAGGGAAACUUGAGCUAAUACCGAAUACGCCCUUACGGGGAAAGAUUUAUUGCCGAAGGAACGGCCCGCGUCCGAUUAGCUAGUUGGUGAGGUAAUGGCUCACCAAGGCUACGAUCGAUAGCUGGU
RNAcentral lists this ribosomal RNA (239 nucleotides) under uncultured bacterium. Its description in RNAcentral is "partial small subunit ribosomal RNA". It matches the Rfam family "Bacterial small subunit ribosomal RNA", at positions 26 to 291 of the family's 1533-position model. The record is from RNAcentral.